CCUACGGGUGGCUGCAGUGGGGAAUAUUGGACAAUGGGGGCAACCCUGAUCCAGCCAUGCCGCGUGUGUGAAGAAGGCCCUCGGGUUGUAAAACACUUUCAGUGAGGAAGAACGCCUGGUGGUUAAUACCCAUCAGGAAAGACAUCACUCACAGAAGAAGCACCGGCUAACUCCGUGCCAGCAGCCGCGGUAAUACGGAGGGUGCGAGCGUUAAUCGGAAUUACUGGGCGUAAAGCGCGCGUAGGUGGCUUGAUAAGCCGGUUGUGAAAGCCCCGGGCUCAACCUGGGAACGGCAUCCGGAACUGUCAAGCUAGAGUGCAGGAGAGGAAGGUAGAAUUCCCGGUGUAGCGGUGAAAUGCGUAGAGAUCGGGAGGAAUACCAGUGGCGAAGGCGGCCUUCUGGACUGACACUGACACUGAGGUGCGAAAGCGUGGGUAGCAAACAGGAUUAGAUACCCUUGUAGUC
Molecule: ribosomal RNA, 465 nt
Filed under: Vreelandella stevensii
Lineage: Bacteria; Pseudomonadati; Pseudomonadota; Gammaproteobacteria; Oceanospirillales; Halomonadaceae
Description: partial 16S ribosomal RNA
Rfam family: Bacterial small subunit ribosomal RNA
Source: RNAcentral